This 604-nucleotide ribosomal RNA is filed under the name uncultured bacterium. Its description in RNAcentral is "bacterial SSU rRNA". It matches the Rfam family "Bacterial small subunit ribosomal RNA", at positions 794 to 1400 of the family's 1533-position model. The record is from RNAcentral.
UCCACGCCGUCAACGAUGAGGACCAAGCAUUGGGGGUGAAACUUCACUCCUGAAGUUAACGCAGUGAGUCGUCCGCUUGGGGAGUAUGCACGUAAGUGUGAAACUUCAAAGGAAUGGUCGGGGGGCCCGCACAUCGUGUGGAGUAUGUGGUGUAUUUCUGAAGCAAACGCGUAGAACUUUCCCAGUCCCUGCACAUGGUAUGGGAUGACGCAGAGAUGCGUUGGAGGUCAACAUCCACACAGGUGGUGCAUGGUUGUCGUCAGCUCGUGUCGUGAGAUGUUGGGUCAAGUCCCGCAACGAGCGCAACCCUUGUGGCAUGUUGCUAACAGGAAAGCUGAGGACUCAUGCCAGACUGCCGGUGACAAACCGGAGGAAGGCGGGGAUGACGUCAAAUCAUCAUGCCCCUUAUGGCCUGGGCUACACACGUACUACAAUGGCGGCUACAAAGAGCGGCGAGACAGUAAUGUCGAGCGAAUCUCAUAAAAGCCGUCCCAGUUCGGAUUGGAGCCUGCAACCCGGCUCCAUGAAGUUGGAAUCGCUAGUAAUCGCGGAUCAGCAUGCCGCGGUGAAUACGUUACCGGGCCUUGCACACACCGCCCGUCAA